AUAGCUAGGGGAGCCAAUGGCUGAGAAGUAACAACUGACCCUUAUACCUGAUCUGGAUAAUGCCAGCGUAGGAAAGCUUAUACAUA
Molecule: non-coding RNA, 86 nt
Filed under: uncultured Romboutsia sp.
Lineage: Bacteria; Bacillati; Bacillota; Clostridia; Peptostreptococcales; Peptostreptococcaceae
Description: TPP riboswitch (THI element)
Rfam family: TPP riboswitch aptamer (THI element)
About the family: Vitamin B(1) in its active form thiamin pyrophosphate (TPP) is an essential coenzyme that is synthesised by coupling of pyrimidine and thiazole moieties in bacteria. The previously detected thiamin-regulatory element, thi box was extended, resulting in a new, highly conserved RNA secondary structure, the THI element, which is widely distributed in eubacteria and also occurs in some archaea.
Source: RNAcentral